CCUACGGGAGGCAGCAGUGGGGAAUAUUGCACAAUGGGGGAAACCCUGAUGCAGCGACGCCGCGUGAGUGAAGAAGUAAUUCGUUAUGUAAAGCUCUAUCAGCAGGGAAGAAAAUGACGGUACCUGAGUAAGAAGCCCCGGCUAACUCCGUGCCAGCAGCCGCGGUAAUACGUAGGGGGCAAGCGUUAUCCGGAUUUCAUGGGUGUAAAGGGAGCGUAGACGGCAGUGCAAGUCUGGAGUGAAAGGCGGGGGCUCAACCCCCGGACUGCUCAGGAAACUGUACGGCUGGAGUGCAGGAGAGGGAAGUGGAAUUCCGAGUGUAGCAGUGAAAGGCGUAGAUAUUAGGAGGAAAACCAGUGGCGAAGGCGGGUUACUGGACUGUAACUGACGUUGAGGCUCGAAAGCGUGGGGAGCAAACAGGAUUAGAUACCCCAGUAGUC
RNAcentral lists this ribosomal RNA (440 nucleotides) under uncultured bacterium. RNAcentral's name for it is "partial 16S ribosomal RNA". It matches the Rfam family "Bacterial small subunit ribosomal RNA", at positions 338 to 795 of the family's 1533-position model. The record is from RNAcentral.